This 447-nucleotide ribosomal RNA is filed under the name uncultured bacterium. RNAcentral's name for it is "partial 16S ribosomal RNA". It matches the Rfam family "Bacterial small subunit ribosomal RNA", at positions 29 to 523 of the family's 1533-position model. The record is from RNAcentral.
AGCGAACGCUGGCGGCAGGCUUAACACAUGCAAGUCGAACGCCCCGCAAGGGGAGUGGCAGACGGGUGAGUAACACGUGGGAACGUACCCUUUGGUUCGGAAUAACUUGGGGAAACUCAAGCUAAUACCGGAUAAGCCCUUAUGGGGAAAGGUUUACUGCCGAAGGAUCGGCCCGCGUCUGAUUAGCUAGUUGGUGAGGUAAUGGCUCACCAAGGCGACGAUCAGUAGCUGGUCUGAGAGGAUGAUCAGCCACACUGGGACUGAGACACGGCCCAGACUCCUACGGGAGGCAGCAGUGGGGAAGAUUGGACGAUGGGGGCAACCCUGAUCCAGCCAUGCCGCGUGAGUGAUGAAGGCCUUAGGGUUGUAAAGCUCUUUUACCCGGGACGAUAAUGACUGUACCGGGAGAAUAAGCCCCGGCUAACUUCGUGCCAGCCGCCGCGGUAA